UUGGAGGGCAAGUCUGGUGCCAGCAGCCGCGGUAAUUCCAGCUCCAAUAGCGUAUAUUAAAGUUGUUGCAGUUAAAAAGCUCGUAGUUGAAUUUCGGGGUCAGCAGGUUGGUCGUGCCAAUGGCAUGAACUGGCCUUGCUGAUUCCUCCCUCUUGAUGAGCCGUAAUGCCAUUAAUUUGGUGUUGCGGGGAAUCAGGACUGUUACUUUGAAAAAAUUAGAGUGUUUAAAGCAGGCAAGCGCUUGAAUACAUUAGCAUGGAAUAAUGAAAUAGGACGUUUGAUCCUAUUUUGUUGGUUUCUAGGAUUGACGUAAUGAUUAAUAGGGAUAGUUGGGGGCAUUAGUAUUCAAUUGUCAGAGGUGAAAUUCUUGGAUUUAUUGAAGACUGACUACUGCGAAAGCAUUUGCCAAGGAUGUUUUCAUUAAUCAAGAACGAAAGUUAGGGGAUCGAAGACGAUCAGAUACCGUCGUAGUCUUAACCAUAAACUAUGCCGACUAGGGAUCGGAUGAUGUUAAUUUUUUAAUGACUCAUUCGGCGCCUUACGGGAAACCAAAGUGUUUGGGUUC
RNAcentral lists this ribosomal RNA (565 nucleotides) under uncultured Sclerocystis. RNAcentral's name for it is "SSU rRNA". It matches the Rfam family "Eukaryotic small subunit ribosomal RNA", at positions 548 to 1114 of the family's 1831-position model. The record is from RNAcentral. Lineage: Eukaryota; Fungi; Glomeromycota; Glomeromycetes; Glomerales; Glomeraceae.